UCCUACGGGGGGCAGCAGUGGGGGAUAUUGCACAAUGGGGGGAACCCUGAUGCAGCGACGCCGCGUGGGUGAAGAAGCGCCUCGGCGCGUAAAGCCCUGUCAGCAGGGAAGAAAAUGACGGUACCUGAAGAAGAAGCCCCGGCUAACUACGUGCCAGCAGCCGCGGUAAUACGUAGGGGGCAAGCGUUAUCCGGAUUUACUGGGUGUAAAGGGAGCGCAGGCGGUCUGGCAAGUCUGAUGUGAAAUACCGGGGCUCAAUUCCGGGACUGCAUUGGAAACUGUCAGACUGGAGUGUCGGAGAGGCG
Molecule: ribosomal RNA, 305 nt
Filed under: uncultured bacterium
Lineage: Bacteria
Description: bacterial SSU rRNA
Rfam family: Bacterial small subunit ribosomal RNA
Source: RNAcentral